This is a long non-coding RNA of Thunnus maccoyii (southern bluefin tuna), 739 nucleotides long. RefSeq lists it as uncharacterized. The record is from RefSeq and is a predicted model, not a curated record. The transcript is spliced from 5 exons. Lineage: Eukaryota; Metazoa; Chordata; Actinopteri; Scombriformes; Scombridae.
CUGAGGAGGGACAAAUUGGCCUCUACCUGCAAACAUUACCUGUUGGAUGUAAGGAGGUUCCUCGCUUUCCUCAGGGAAGAGAACAUCCCACAGGUACUAUUGUCUUAUUGGAAGCUACUUUCUGUGUGUGGGAUUAUCUUUGUCAGGAUCAAGCUCUUUCUAGAACAGGUGUUAAAAUACCUUUUUGGAUGUGUCUUUUUCUUCCUCUGGUUCAUCUCUCCCAGGCACACAUGCUCUCCCUGGACACUGUGAUGAAGACUGAGCUCUCCAACCUGUCCAAAGAAAUAGUCACCCACCGCCUAGAGUUGCAUUCGAAGAAGAGCAAGAACCUUCUGUUACCGACUCAGAUUUGCACCUUCAAGGCGUGGGUGAUCUAGCAGAUUCCAAAGAGUCUUGAAAAACUCAGGAAACACCCCUCAAGGGUGUCACUCACAAGGAGACAUGUGGGUCUCCUUGCUGGCAACAUUAAUGCAGUCACAUGCCACAGGAAAGGGGUCCUCUACUGCGACCGCAUGAAUGAUGAAUACAUCAGCAAUCCCAGAGACAUCUCCAACCCGGCCCUCAUGAGGGCCAUGUGCCACAGCACCUCUUAGAUGCUGGUCCUUCCUCAGUUGAGCCCCAAGGGGGGAAAAAACAUUGAGCCUGAGCCCAGACCAAGCAGACUUUCCACAUCACACAAGUUGAUGGAGAGACAUUGUUGCUGCCACCAACCACUUACAUGCCACUGUCCCAUACAGAG